UUUAACUAUGAAUUUUGUAGUUUUUCCAUUUUGGUUUUGGUUUUAGUUUAUCUGGUAUGAUUAGAUGAUGAAUUUUAGAAUUUCCAUUCUAUUCCCCUACUAUGAACUUUCUUGAAGAUGUAGAUACAUUGAGGCACAAUGGAGGAAAAUAAUAGAAAACUGUUUUCGUUUCUCUUUUCACUUGUCUUCUUUUGAUGUUUAGGUUUUGUGUGGGUGUUCGGUUAGAUGUUGAAAAUGAGAAUUACAAGCAAAUGAAGGAAAACAAAUUAUUAAAAGUUUCCUUUUUUAUCCCAUUAACUCAGUUUUUUCCUUUUCUUUUUCUACAUUGAGUGCAAUUUUCAUAGAUGAGGUGGUGUUUAGAAACAUAAACAUAGACAUAAUUAAGUUCCUUUCUGAUUCCGACAUCAUUCCUUGCCGAAGCUCUAGUGUUCAUUCAGCUCCUCUACCUGCUCCUGUUCAAGGAGGUGGAUCGAUUCUUGGAGGAAUUGGUUCCACCAUUGCUCAAGGCCAUCGACACAGUUAUGGGUCCCCAUACCAUUUAGCUUGAGACGGCUUCAUCUGAAGCUGCUGCAGCUGCCCCAAUGAACACUAUGGGUGUUGAUUCUUGCAACAUCCAUUCAAAGGCAUUCCAAGAUUGCAUCAACUACUUUGGAAGCGACCUCAGCAAGUGCUAUCAUGCCUGUCAUGUAAAUUUUGUUCAUUGUUUUUAAGCAAUAUUUGUAAACAAUAUUUUGUUGAAAUUUUACAAAGUGUAUAAUUUAUUUUAUAUGUUCUUUAAAAGAUUGAACAAAUUUGUAGAUAAACUUUUGUUUUGAUUAUUUUUGAAUUUUCAAUAAAAUUUUUAUUAUUUUUUAUA
Dioscorea cayenensis subsp. rotundata (Guinea yam) is the source of this 856-nucleotide long non-coding RNA. RefSeq lists it as uncharacterized. The record is from RefSeq and is a predicted model, not a curated record. The transcript is spliced from 4 exons. Lineage: Eukaryota; Viridiplantae; Streptophyta; Magnoliopsida; Dioscoreales; Dioscoreaceae.